CUGCCUUUUCUAGGGCCGCUCCCACAGCGUAUAGAGAUUCCCAGGCUAGGAGCCUAAUCAGAGCCAUAGCCGCCGGCCUAUGCCACAGCCACAGCAAUGCAGGAUCCAGGGCCGCAUCUGCGACCUACACCACAAGUCAUGGCAACGCCAGAUCCUUAACCCACUGAGCAGGGGCAGGGAUCGAACCCGCGACCUCAUGGUUCCUACUUCUUCAUAGACCCAUGCUCUCCUCUAGACACACAGCUUUUCUCUCCAUGCUCCCUUCCCCAGGGACCACCCCCAGGGGCACCCCAGCCCUGCUGAAACACAGAGAAGCGCUCAUAUUCACAGACACAGGAAUUGAGCAUGCAAAUCAGGGGCCUGCAAAUGUUCUCCGAAAAGGGCCAGGGAGUAUAUGUUUUAGAAUCUGCAGACCACUAGGAAUCUCCCUACUGCUACCACUCAACUCUGUCCCUUUGCUUAUGAGACCUAAGCAAAUGAGUGUGACUAUGUUCCAACCAGACUUAUCUGUGAUCUCAACAUUUGAACUGGAGAGCAUUCUCAUGCUACAAAACAUUACUCUUCUUUGGAUUUGGUUUCAACUGUUUAAAAACAUAAGCAACGUUCUUAGCUCACAGGCCAUAGCAAAAAGAGGUAGCAAGCCAAUUUGGCCAGUGGGCCAGAGUUUGCCAACUCCGACUUUAAAAUACCAUUAAUAGAUUUGUGAAAAUCACGUGAUUGGUGCCCACUGCAUCCUAGUGUGACAUAUGUACGGAGCCUACUCCUUAAAGGAUAUUGUGAUGACUUCAGCAAUGCAGACCUCUCAAUUCCCACCUCUGAUGUCAGGCAGAGGCCUGCUGAACAAUUAUAUGCUCUUCUGCCAUCAUUUUGCGGUUGUUAAAGUGUGGUUGAUUUACAAUGUGGUGCCAAUUUCUGCGGUACAGCCAAGUGACCCAUUGAUACAUAUAUAUACAUUCCCUUUCUUAUAGAAUCUUCCUUCAUGGUCCAUCCCAAGAGAUUGGAUAGAGCUCCCCAUGCUCCGUAGUAGAGCCUCACAGCCUAUCCAUUCUAAGUGUAACAGUUUGCAUCUGCCCACCCCAAACUCCCCAUCCAUCCCAACUCCCCUCCCCGCCUUGGCAACCACAAGACUCUUCUCCAUGUCUGUGAGUCUGUUUCUGCUUUGUAGAUAGGUUCAUUGUGCCAUAUUGAACCUCUGCAUAGAAGCUGGCUUUCUGGUUUUCCUGUGCCCCAGAUGGGGUCUCAUGCCAAAGGAGCCUCUCUCCUUUGCCAACAGGAGCCCCAGCGGCUCUCUCUGGCUGUCAGAGAUUUGGCCUCUGAGCCGGUUCCACUUGGAAGCUUUCUGACCACAGUUGUGCUCAGGAGGUUGAAUGUUGUAACAACAAUGACAGCGUCUGCAGAACACCCAAGAAGCCAGCCUCAUGUUUGCAUGCUGUCACCAUCCUGACAAAUAUUGCAUCGCAAAUCUGAGAACCGAUUUGAUUUACUGACAAGGCGACCCUCC
Molecule: long non-coding RNA, 1501 nt
Filed under: Sus scrofa (pig)
Lineage: Eukaryota; Metazoa; Chordata; Mammalia; Artiodactyla; Suidae
Description: lncRNA (ENSSSCG00060068666.1)
Source: RNAcentral